GAUGAACGCUGGCGGCGUGCCUAAUACAUGCAAGUCGAGCGAACGGACGAGAAGCUUGCUUCUCUGAUGUUAGCGGCGGACGGGUGAGUAACACGUGGAUAACCUACCUAUAAGACUGGGAUAACUUCGGGAAACCGGAGCUAAUACCGGAUAAUAUUUUGAACCGCAUGGUUCAAAAGUGAAAGACGGUCUUGCUGUCACUUAUAGAUGGAUCCGCGCUGCAUUAGCUAGUUGGUAAGGUAACGGCUUACCAAGGCAACGAUGCAUAGCCGACCUGAGAGGGUGAUCGGCCACACUGGAACUGAGACACGGUCCAGACUCCUACGGGAGGCAGCAGUAGGGAAUCUUCCGCAAUGGGCGAAAGCCUGACGGAGCAACGCCGCGUGAGUGAUGAAGGUCUUCGGAUCGUAAAACUCUGUUAUUAGGGGAGAACAUAUGUGUAAGUAACUGUGCACAUCUUGACGGGACCUAAUCAGAAAGCCACGGCUAACUACGU
This 496-nucleotide ribosomal RNA is filed under the name uncultured bacterium. RNAcentral describes it as "partial 16S ribosomal RNA". It matches the Rfam family "Bacterial small subunit ribosomal RNA", at positions 28 to 506 of the family's 1533-position model. The record is from RNAcentral.